Molecule: long non-coding RNA, 200 nt
Organism: Mobula hypostoma (lesser devil ray)
Lineage: Eukaryota; Metazoa; Chordata; Chondrichthyes; Myliobatiformes; Myliobatidae
Exons: 3
Source: RefSeq, a predicted model, not a curated record
CAGGCAGCAUCGAUGGCGGAGAAUAAACAGUUGACAUUUUGGACCGAGACGCUUUAUCAUGACUGCUCAGAACCUUUCUGCUGUAGUUGCUUCAGAUUAUUAAAAUACAAAGGGAGUACAAAAGAGCUGGAAGACACCAAAGCUGAAGCACAAGGUUUCACUACAGGAUUCUACAGGACAAAGUACAAAGAAAAUCUGAG